AUUUAGUAGUAUGUACGUUUAUUUUCUACUAUAAAGUAAAAAUAGUCUGGCAACUGGCAAUAAUUUUAGUUGACAUUGACAUAAAAGUUGUUCUCUAGUCUGUUCGUUCUUUUUGACAACUCUUUUUCGGCGAGCCGUGUUAGCGGAACAAGCUCGCCAAGAUGGUGAACAACCGAGUACCGUCGGUAUUCUCGAAGACGUACGUGACGCCUCGCCGUCCGUUCGAGAAGGCGCGUCUCGACCAGGAGCUUAAGAUCAUCGGCGAGUAUGGUCUGCGCAACAAGCGUGAAGUGUGGCGCGUCAAGUACACGCUCGCUCGCAUCCGGAAGGCUGCCCGUGAGCUGCUGACCCUUGAGGAGAAGGACCCUAAGAGACUGUUUGAAGGUAACGCACUCCUGCGUCGUCUCGUCAGGAUCGGAGUGUUGGAUGAGAAGCAGAUGAAGCUCGAUUACGUGCUCGGUCUGAAGAUUGAGGACUUCUUGGAGCGCCGUCUGCAGACCCAGGUCUUCAAGGCUGGUCUUGCCAAGUCUAUCCAUCACGCCCGUAUUCUCAUCAGGCAAAGACACAUCCGGUAAGACUGGUUUUUAUGAAUUUUGUGACAAGAUACAUAUUAAUUCUGAUGGUGAUUGACUAUCUGGAUUUAUUCCAAACAGAAAUAACAUUAAAAUCAAAUGCAGGUGAUCACGUGCGCGUGCGGCGAUAGCUGCUCGGCUCUGAAUUGUUUUCUAAAAGACCACUUGGCUCCCAACCCAGUUGGGGUCAAUGUCUUGAAAUGUUUAUAAGCUCUUUGUGAGCGUUACUCAGCGUCCGCAAGCAAGUGGUGAACAUUCCUUCGUUCAUCGUCCGCCUCGACAGCGGCAAACACAUCGACUUCUCUCUGAAGUCACCGUUCGGCGGCGGCAGGCCCGGCCGCGUCAAGAGGAAGAACUUGCGCAAGGGACAGGGUGGCGGCGCCGCAGCCGACGAGGAGGAAGAUUAGACCAAUAAAUGACGUGUUUAUAAUCUAA
RNA transcript from Helicoverpa zea (corn earworm), 1007 nucleotides. It is a transcript of the gene named 40S ribosomal protein S9, with no coding region annotated. NCBI's taxonomy places the organism in Eukaryota, Metazoa, Arthropoda, Insecta, Lepidoptera, Noctuidae. The transcript is spliced from 4 exons. The record is from RefSeq and is a predicted model, not a curated record.